RNAcentral lists this transfer RNA (72 nucleotides) under Camelus ferus (Wild Bactrian camel). It matches the Rfam family "tRNA". Rfam says of the family: Transfer RNA (tRNA) molecules are approximately 80 nucleotides in length. Their secondary structure includes four short double-helical elements and three loops (D, anti-codon, and T loops). Further hydrogen bonds mediate the characteristic L-shaped molecular structure. tRNAs have two regions of fundamental functional importance: the anti-codon, which is responsible for specific mRNA codon recognition, and the 3' end, to which the tRNAs corresponding amino acid is attached (by aminoacyl-tRNA synthetases). tRNAs cope with the degeneracy of the genetic code in two manners: having more than one tRNA (with a specific anti-codon) for a particular amino acid; and 'wobble' base-pairing, i.e. permitting non-standard base-pairing at the 3rd anti-codon position. The record is from Rfam by way of RNAcentral. Lineage: Eukaryota; Metazoa; Chordata; Mammalia; Artiodactyla; Camelidae.
GGUGGUAUAGCUCAGUGGUAGAGCACAUGCUUAGCAUGCAUGAGACCCUGGGUUCAAUCCCCAGUACUUUCA